GGAUGAAAAUCGGACUUAGUGAUCCGGUGGUUCUGCGUGGAAGGGCCAUCGCUCAACGGAUAAAAGCUACCCUGGGGAUAACAGGCUUAUCUCCCCCAAGAGUCCACAUCGACGGGGAGGUUUGGCACCUCGAUGUCGGCUCAUCACAUCCUGGGGCUGUAGUAGGUCCCAAGGGUUGGGCUGUUCGCCCAUUAAAGUGGUACGCGAGCUGGGUUCAGAACGUCGUGAGACAGUUCGGUCCCUAUCCGUCGCAGGCGUAGGAAAUUUGAGAAGACCUGUCCUUAGUACGAGAGGACCGGGAUGGACGUACCUCUGGUGUACCAGUUGUCCUGCCAAGGGCAUGGCUGGGUAGCUAUGUACGGAAUGGAUAAGCGCUGAAAGCAUCUAAGCGCGAAGCCAACUUCAAGAUAAGAUUUCCCACCGCAAGGGUAAGACCCCAGAAAGACUAUCUGGUUGAUAGGUCGAAGGUGUAAGUGCAGUAAUGUAUUUAGCUUAUCGAUACUAAUAGGUCGAGGACUUGACCAAU
Molecule: ribosomal RNA, 526 nt
Filed under: Clostridioides difficile
Lineage: Bacteria; Bacillati; Bacillota; Clostridia; Peptostreptococcales; Peptostreptococcaceae
Description: partial 23S ribosomal RNA
Rfam family: Bacterial large subunit ribosomal RNA
Source: RNAcentral